RNAcentral lists this non-coding RNA (99 nucleotides) under Sulfurovum sp. RNAcentral's name for it is "c-di-GMP sequence". It matches the Rfam family "c-di-GMP-I riboswitch aptamer". Rfam says of the family: GEMM was predicted in a large-scale screen for bacterial structured RNA regulatory elements. Genes associated with GEMM are involved in a diverse array of functions, including chemotaxis regulation, signal transduction, secretion and chitin. The record is from RNAcentral. Lineage: Bacteria; Pseudomonadati; Campylobacterota; Epsilonproteobacteria; Campylobacterales; Sulfurovaceae.
GAAAGAAAACGCCACCCCUGUUGCGAAGCAGGUUCGGAAAGCUAUGGGUCUUUGAUGCUGUCGCCUGGCAGCAGACGAGAAGAUCGCCAGGUUGCCUAA